UUCCCGUUCGUCCAAUCGGUAGGACGCCUGGUUCUGGCCCAGGAAAUCGAGGUUCGAGUCCUUGAUGGGAAGC
RNAcentral lists this transfer RNA (73 nucleotides) under Mycobacterium phage Refuge. RNAcentral describes it as "tRNA-Gln". It matches the Rfam family "tRNA". Rfam says of the family: Transfer RNA (tRNA) molecules are approximately 80 nucleotides in length. Their secondary structure includes four short double-helical elements and three loops (D, anti-codon, and T loops). Further hydrogen bonds mediate the characteristic L-shaped molecular structure. tRNAs have two regions of fundamental functional importance: the anti-codon, which is responsible for specific mRNA codon recognition, and the 3' end, to which the tRNAs corresponding amino acid is attached (by aminoacyl-tRNA synthetases). tRNAs cope with the degeneracy of the genetic code in two manners: having more than one tRNA (with a specific anti-codon) for a particular amino acid; and 'wobble' base-pairing, i.e. permitting non-standard base-pairing at the 3rd anti-codon position. The record is from RNAcentral. Lineage: Duplodnaviria; Heunggongvirae; Uroviricota; Caudoviricetes.